AUACGUAGGGGGCUAGCGUUGUCCGGAAUUACUGGGCGUAAAGGGUGAGUAGGUGGUCAUUAAAGUCAGAUGUAAAAGGCAAUGGCUUAACCAUUGUAAGCAUAUGAAACUUAAUGACUUGAGUGCAGGAGAGGUAAAUGGAAUUCCUAGUGUAGCGGCGAAAUGCGUAGAUAUUAGGAAGAACACCAGUGGCGAAGGCGAUUUACUGGACUGCAACUGACACUGAGUCACGAAAGCGUGGGGAGCGAACAGGAUUAGAUACCCUGGUAGUCCACGCUGUAAACGAUGAGUGCUAGGUGUCGGCAAGAGAUUGUCGGUGCCGCAGUUAACGCAUUAAGCACUCCGCCUGGGGAGUACGAUCGCAAGAUUGAA
This 372-nucleotide ribosomal RNA is filed under the name uncultured bacterium. RNAcentral describes it as "bacterial SSU rRNA". It matches the Rfam family "Bacterial small subunit ribosomal RNA", at positions 523 to 898 of the family's 1533-position model. The record is from RNAcentral.